This 115-nucleotide small RNA is filed under the name Sinorhizobium meliloti 2011. RNAcentral's name for it is "putative ncRNA". The record is from RNAcentral. Lineage: Bacteria; Pseudomonadati; Pseudomonadota; Alphaproteobacteria; Hyphomicrobiales; Rhizobiaceae.
CUCGGCCUGUUCGAAUGCUAUGUUCGCUUGCGACUCGAACACUUCGUCAGUGACCUCGAGACCGUCCGACAUCCCGUAGUCAUCGGAAAUCUGCUUUCCGAUAGUGGUCUCGGUA